GGUGUUGCACGGACCUUUCUCUAACGCCGUGACCUGAGCGGUCUAUUAUCAUGCCCUUUUUACACAUAAGGGAACGGAGCCUAUUAAUCUGGGUUCCGGUUGCUUGGGUAACGAAAGUCAGAGCUGCAAUUCAACACCUCCAUCUAUGAAACACCAGAGCCCAGCCUCCUUCUACUCCAUCACACGCCGCCCCUUGAAGAGGAGGUAAUUUCCUUCAUCUGCAGGGAAAGUGGAACGAUGGUGUGCCACCUAUGCAAGUGCUCUUCCGUGGGGCUGCUACCGCAGCCCCCACAGUGGACAAAAAUGUUCUGCCCUGUGGGCUAAACGCGAAUUCCUCUGAAGGGUCAGUAGCUCUAAGUUACGUGGCACUGAGAUUUCCACUUGCUUGUUUUAUUGUCUGUCCUUAGGCUCCGCAGAACAGAACGAAACAAAACAAGAUAGAAAAAUAUUCCCCGCUGACUUACCUUAGCAGAUGCUUGCUUGUGUCCUGUGACAGGACAGUGAGAUGGGCAAAGGAGACAGUAACAGAACACUCGCUAGGGUUAUCAUCUCUAACGGGCAGUGACAAAAAGCAGUUGCAGAGCUGGUCUCCAGCAACAGGCAGUGUCGGUUUUUAAUUGCGAGGCACUUUCUGGAAUUUGAUUUUCAGCGUCCUGUGGAUAUAAAGUGAAAACAGCUUUCUGGCAUCAUGACUGGGGUGAAGAUCACGAACUGCGUGCAUGUUGGUUUAAGGAACACCCCAGAAAGGGUUGCUUGCUGAAUCUCCCUGACACACAUUGCAUCAUCAUCAAUAAUGACAUCAAAUUAUAAAUCACCCGAGAACUGACAAGGAGUUAGCACACAUCAAACACGAGCAGGAAAAGAAAAUCAGUAUCCCUCUUCUAAGACCAAUUCAAAAAUCCUUGCCUACACCUGCUACACACCAGCAAGGAGCCAGGGCUUGCAGAACUCAAGACUCAGGAUCAGCCAUCAGGAUGGGGAGGCAGAAGCUGGGUGUCAUGGAGGCCACCUGCAGAAGGUGGAGAAUGCCUUAGAUGAGCAAAGGACAAAGCGGCAAAACCAUGUAACAAGGAGACCAUAGAAAAAUGAUUAUUUAAGACACUGCUUUUCAAGUGGUAAAUUUCAACCCGGUUAGCAAGUUAUAAAAUCAAUUUAGUCGAUUUUGCAAAAUUAAACAGAACAGAAUAGAAAAAUAUCAGAGUGCAUUGCAUGGAGUCAGGGCCAGCAUCGUUUCAUGACAAAUGUUAUGUGAUUUUAUAGAGGAAGAUGCUUGUGUGUUUUGGGUCAUGUUGGGAAAUGUGUUGGUCCCCAAAAGGUUUUGUAAAACCUUGAUUUAAAGGAAGUUGUCGUGAACCCAGCCGAAAACCCUAGAGCCUAUUAAUCAAAUCCAUCCUAGAGCCAGAGCCCAUUCUCCUUGACACAGAGGUCACCUGAUGUGUGGCCAGGAUCCAGGGCUGUCUUUGUUCUGUAGAGGAGCCCCACAGCUGGGGUUGGGGAGGGUCCCAGCUUGGAACUGAGUGAGCCUCCAGCCUUCAUGCUCAGCUUAAACCCCCAUCCCUGCGAAUGCUCUGAGCUUUUUUUUUUUUCUUUUUCUUUUGUAUUUCCUUUUUUUUUUUUUUUUUCUUUUUUUUUUUUUUUGUCUUUUUUUCUUUUGAGCUGCACCCCUGGCAUAUGGAGGUACCCAGGCUAGGAAGUCUAAUUGGAGCUGUAGCCACUGGCCUACACCAUAGCCACAGCAGCAUGGGAUCUGAGCCGCAUCUGCAACCUACACCACAGCUCAUGGCAACACUGGAUCCUUAACCCACUGAUCGAGACCAGGGAUCGAACCCACGUGCUCGUGGAGGCUAGUUAGAUUCGUUUCCGCUGAGCCACUACGGGAAUUCCGACUAUGAGCUUUUCGAAGGCAAAUACGCCUCAGUGCAUCUGGUGUAUUGUCUGAUGUUCCUUUUAUCCCCGCUACAUGACUACCCACAUUUCAUGUCACUAAGCAGCCAUUUUAUUAUGUUCCAACUCUUUGGGUCAGGAGGGGGGACGCCUCACCUCUUGGCCAUGACACUUGAGCUCAGGGAUGGACAGCUUGAGGACAGCAUCUUUACUCGCAUGUCUGGUGCCUGGGCUGAGGGUCACGAAGGCUGGGACUGCUGACCCGGGGUGGGACCUCUCCCACGUGGUGGCUGGGUUCCAGGUGGGAGCACUGGAGAGUGAGGUUCCAAACCACCUCUAUAGAAGCUACAUGCCUCUUACAAGCCAGUCCCAGAAGAUCACAGGUGGACCCUCCACCAUUCUCUCUCUGCCAGAGCAGCCCCACGCUCAUCCAGACUUGAAGACAGACCACACCUCUCCCUGUUUGAUCUUCUCAGUUUUCUUAGCUUCCACCUAGGGUAUGAAAGCCUCCUUGUGGGGACAACUGAUUGCCCUUGACUUGGGAGAGUGAGCAGCUCAAAUUCCUUGGGAUGCACUGAGUGCUUUGCGGUAAUCAUCUACUAUUCCUUAUGAUGAUCUGAAGUCUCUAUAACACUUAGUGGGCUGGAACCACACAUAUAUUUACCGCCUUCAUUUGGUUGCUAGCAUUAGGCUUAUUUUCCAGUAUUUUUCUCUCCAAUUGGACUGUCUUUUAUCUAAGCUUAUCUUCAGUGUCAAGAAGUACAGCACUUCUCAACAGCCGCCCGCCCUCCGCCCCAUAAGAGACACCUCCCCUCUAUUCAUCUUCUGCAAAUUGAUCCUUAUGGUUAAGGCCCCCAGAAUCCAUUCAUCACCGAGAUCUGUUCUUUCCCAUUUAUAUGGUCUUCCAUUUAGCUACACCAAGCUCUUUACCAUGACUAAAGCUCUUCGUCAUUUUAAUAGCUCUUUCUUAGAGCCAGCCCAGAGUGUCAGACUGUAAAUGUAUUCCCUAGAAGACCCGCAAGGUCCCAAUAGCCCCAAAGCACCCCCAUUCUCUCUGAAGACCCACAGUUGGGCAGCUCCCCCCGAGUAGAACUGGACACUGGUUUUCACUUAUCCAUCUCCUUCUGCAGAAGCCUCAGUCUUGAUUUUGGUCACCUAUGUCAUUCCUAGUGAUCCUAGCAAAGUACCUCAAACCAUCUAAUCUAAUUGGUCUUGUGAGAUAGGAAAGGAAAGCAGAGAGUUGUGAGCGAGGGGAGAGGAGUAGGAGAGAAAGGGGAUGGUACAGGGAGAGGAGGGAGGGGGAUGCUCUUUAGAGAAGGGUCACGGGAGCCCAGCACCACGCAGGGAAGGUGACUCUGCUUCCCAUCUCAGGGAGGAGUAUGCAGAGCACCCCAGAGGCGGAAUCAUGAUGGGGGAGGUGGGGUCGGGAUGGGGGAGGUGGAGUCAGGGAGAGUGGGGACUGCGCCUGCCCAGGGGUACUUCUGGGCCCCCUCCAGCCCUGCCCUGCCUCGGUGCCACUUGGGGGUACUGGCAUGUUCUCUGUGGGUACGUCGUAGGAAGUACUCCUUUUUCCAGUGCCAGGUGGGCGAUGGACGGGAUGCUUGGGGACUCUGACUGUGGUUACUGCCCCAGCUCCCUGCACAUUCAUAGGCUAAAUGGGCCACAGCUCUAGUCACUAAUGCAGGCCCAUGCCCGGGGGCUCAGACUGGGGUCACUGCCCUCUGCCAAAGGCUGUCAGGGCCCACCUCAGAGAGGAGGUAAAGUGUGCUGAUAGAGGAGAGGUAUGUCAUGGCCCAUUCACUGCAGCCAGUUUGGCUGGAGUGGGUGGUAAAGAAUGAACGUGUCCUUUCAGCAUCUCAAAGAUCACUUCCUGGAGCCGUGUUAGUGUGGGCACCCACCUAAGCACCUGUGUGGAGGGCUCAGAAACUCCACUGCAGCCAGCCGGCAAGCAUCUGCACCCUGCCCUCGGCCUCUAUCAGAGAGGUGCACUCCUGCCGCAGAAGCAGUCAUGGGCCCUUUCUCUCGGCUUUAAACGUUUGGAGCCGUGGUCCUUCUGGGUUUGAACCAGGGGUGGUUCUCCCACUCAGAGGGUACAGACCAUGAGGAUGUUCCAGGCGCCUCGCCAUCCUUCCUGUGCCAGGCACUGUCCAUGCAUACUUGUACCCUGGCAGCCCAAGUGGACGCAUCGGAUGACAACCUGGUCUUUUCCUGACACAGGGAUGUCAGGUGGCCCGAGGUCAGAGGGCGAGCAAGACUCAGAGGAUUCUAAGCCAGGCAGUCUGAGCCAGAGCCCACUUCCUGUUUUGCCACCUCUCCACACACUCCCUAAGCCAAGUACCAAAGGGCAGGCCGUGGCUCCACCUCCACCGUGGGGAACUUUAGAGAAGCUGUGUGUCCAGAUGCCCUUGGCACAGCUCGGGUCUCUUCUUCCCAGAAAGCUGAGUAUCCAUUUCCAUCCCAGACUUGCAGGAGACUUAAAUACUGAGACUUCUCCCCGGGGACAAAGUUCCCACAUCUAGCCUGACUCUUCUGAGGUCCUGGGGCCUCAGAACUGCCUGCAAACAAGAGGAGGACUCAGCUCCCCCAGAAUCCUCAGUCCCCAUUCUGGGGGACUCCAGGUGGCUGCCAGGGAUGCCUCAGCUCAGCUCUGUGCUUGGCAACCUGCCCCUGGGUCCAGGCAGACUGAGAAUGGGAUUGAAACGCCUGGAAUUUAAAUCAAAACUCUGCGUGUACAUUUUUUUUCCAGUAGGAUGGUCUUUGAUCAAAAUUUUCAAGGCGUUUGGCCCAGAAAGGAGUGCCUGGACCUUAGGGACAGGGUUGGGGAUAGGAGGGAACAGUGAUCUUUAAUGCUUGCUCCAUCAGCUGCACAGGCCAGUACCAACCAGCUCUCCUCCUGUCUAUCGCCGGAGUUAGCAGAAGCUUCUACAGCCAAGGCUCAGCCACACAGUAAAGCACUACACACAGACCUGGCAAGUCACAGCCAUCAGCAGCUAAUACAUCAUAGUUGGGGGAUAUUAAGAAAUUAUUCUUAGUUUUGUAACAUAGGAUCAUGACACUGUGGUCAUGUUUGUAAAAGUCCUUAGCCUGGAGUUCCUGUCAUGGCAUAGCAGAAACGAAUCCUAUAAGGAACCAUGAGGUGGCAGGUUCGAUCCCUGGCCUCGAUCAGUGGGUUAAGGAUCCAGUGUUGCAGUGAGCUGUGGUGUAGGUCGCAGACUCGGCUCAGAUCUGGCAUUGCUGUGGCUGGCGGGUAGGCCGGCAGCGACAGCUCUGAUUAGACCCCUUGCCAGAGAACCUCCAUGUGCCAAGGAUGCGGCCCUAAAAAGACAAAAAAAA
This 5217-nucleotide long non-coding RNA is filed under the name Sus scrofa (pig). RNAcentral describes it as "lncRNA (ENSSSCG00005030819.1)". The record is from RNAcentral. Lineage: Eukaryota; Metazoa; Chordata; Mammalia; Artiodactyla; Suidae.